Zalophus californianus (California sea lion) is the source of this 321-nucleotide long non-coding RNA. RefSeq lists it as uncharacterized. Lineage: Eukaryota; Metazoa; Chordata; Mammalia; Carnivora; Otariidae. The transcript has 3 exons. The record is from RefSeq and is a predicted model, not a curated record.
CUCCAGCCAAAUUUCAUCUCACUUGAAUUGAAGGUGUUAAUAACAGAGAACUACAAAAUCUUUCUCGCAGAAAUCAGCACACAUAUUCUUACCACUCCUGACCUGGUGCUUUAUGGGAAAUCAUUUCUAUUGGUGAUGAAUAGGUUGCUCUUAUGUGUUACCUUCGCUCAGAUACAUCCCGUUUGAAGUCCUGGCUUCCAAAGGACCGUUUCAGGCCAUAGGAUAACAAAGCAUAUUCCACGAAGAGGCGGGCUUGUAAGGAGAAGAUUUCAUUUAUUUAUGUGAGAGAGAGGGAGAGCACAGAGGAAGAGUGAGAGGGAG